UGUCAAAUGGAGAAACGAACAGGG
RNAcentral lists this non-coding RNA (24 nucleotides) under Arabidopsis thaliana (thale cress). Lineage: Eukaryota; Viridiplantae; Streptophyta; Magnoliopsida; Brassicales; Brassicaceae. The record is from RNAcentral.